This 220-nucleotide ribosomal RNA is filed under the name Ochromonas sp. CCMP1393. RNAcentral's name for it is "partial Bacterial small subunit ribosomal RNA". It matches the Rfam family "Bacterial small subunit ribosomal RNA", at positions 334 to 551 of the family's 1533-position model. Lineage: Eukaryota; Chrysophyceae; Chromulinales; Chromulinaceae. The record is from RNAcentral.
GACUCCUACGGGAGGCAGCAGUAGGGAAUAUUGGACAAUGGGCGAGAGCCUGAUCCAGCCAUCCCGCGUGCAGGAAGACUGCCCUCUGGGUUGUAAACUGCUUUUAUACAGGAAGAAAAAGAGUCAUGCGUGACUUACUGACGGUACUGUAUGAAUAAGCACCGGCUAACUCCGUGCCAGCAGCCGCGGUAAGACGGAGGAUGCAAGUGUUAUCCGGAAU